Molecule: ribosomal RNA, 356 nt
Filed under: uncultured eukaryote
Lineage: Eukaryota
Description: LSU rRNA
Rfam family: Bacterial large subunit ribosomal RNA
Source: RNAcentral
UUUAUCUUAUUUGCGCAGGAUAAGUGGGAGAUUUAGAAGCUAAUUUUUUGGAAUUAGUGGAGUCAUCCUUGAGAUACCACUCUGGUAAGAUGGAAAUUCUAACUUCAUACCGUUAGCCGGUUGAAAGACAGUUUCAGGUGGGCAGUUUGACUGGGGCGGUCGCCUCCUAAAAGGUAACGGAGGCGUACAAAGGUUUCCUCAGAUCGGUCAGAAAUCGAUCUUAGAGUGCAAUGGCAAAAGGAAGCUUGACUGUGAGACAAACAAGUCGAGCAGGGACGAAAGUCGGUCAUAGUGAUCUGGCGGUGCUGUGUGGAAAGGCCGUCACUCGACGGAUAAAAGUUACUCUAGGGAUAACA